Molecule: small nucleolar RNA, 107 nt
Filed under: Gossypium arboreum
Lineage: Eukaryota; Viridiplantae; Streptophyta; Magnoliopsida; Malvales; Malvaceae
Description: Plant small nucleolar RNA R71
Rfam family: Plant small nucleolar RNA R71
About the family: R71 is a member of the C/D box family of snoRNAs containing the C (UGAUGA) and D (CUGA) box motifs. Multiple nearly identical copies of this snoRNA have been identified in Arabidopsis, and it is thought to function as a 2'-O-ribose methylation guide for 18S ribosomal RNA.
Source: Rfam by way of RNAcentral
AACUCAUGGUGAGGGCACCCUCUUAAUAGGUCCUUGUAUCCCUCCCAUGCAUCAUAAAGAGUUUCUAGAUCCAUCUACACAAAAGAAGAGAUAUCAUUCCCCAAUUU